GCCCAGAUGGUGAAAUUGGUAGACACGCCAGCUUGAGGGGCUGGUGCCGGUUUUCGGCGUGCAAGUUCGAGUCUUGUUCUGGGCACAA
Molecule: transfer RNA, 88 nt
Filed under: Alkalitalea saponilacus
Lineage: Bacteria; Pseudomonadati; Bacteroidota; Bacteroidia; Marinilabiliales; Marinilabiliaceae
Description: tRNA_Leu_GAG
Rfam family: tRNA
About the family: Transfer RNA (tRNA) molecules are approximately 80 nucleotides in length.
Source: RNAcentral